GAUGAACGCUGGCGGCGUGCCUAAUACAUGCCAGUCGAGCGAACAGACGAGGCGCUUGCUCCUCUGACGUUAGCGGCGGACGGGUGAGUAACACGUGGAUAACCCACCUAUAAGACGGGGAUAAAUUCGGGAAAACGGAGCCAAUAACGGCAAAUAUAUUCAACAGCAUGGUUCAAUAGUUAAAGACGGUUUUGCAGCCACUUAUAGCUGAUUCCGGUCCGCAUUAGCUAGUGGGUAAGGUAACGGCUUACCAAGGCGACGAUGCGUAGCCGACCUGAGAGGGUGAUCAGCCACACUGGAACUGAGACACGGUCCAGACUCCUACGGGAGGCAGCAGUAGGGAAUCUUCCGCAAUGGGCGAAAGCCUGACGGAGCAACGCCGCGUGAGUGAUGAAGGUCUUCGGAUCGUAAAACUCUGUUAUUAGGGAGGAACAAAUGUGUAAGUAACUAUGCACGUCUUGACGGUACCUAAUCAGAAAGCCACGGCUAACUACGUG
RNAcentral lists this ribosomal RNA (497 nucleotides) under uncultured bacterium. RNAcentral describes it as "partial 16S ribosomal RNA". It matches the Rfam family "Bacterial small subunit ribosomal RNA", at positions 28 to 507 of the family's 1533-position model. The record is from RNAcentral.